Long non-coding RNA from Paramisgurnus dabryanus, 567 nucleotides. RefSeq lists it as uncharacterized. The record is from RefSeq and is a predicted model, not a curated record. Lineage: Eukaryota; Metazoa; Chordata; Actinopteri; Cypriniformes; Cobitidae.
GAGUUUCAUCAGUAGAGUGUGUCCUGGUAAAUGUGUGCUCGGAAACAUGCAGAUUACAGUAUUUACAGAGCCGACCUUGAGGCACCCACUGAUUGAUAAUCUGUUUACCUAAAAACAGCCCACCACAAUCCAUGUUUACCAGCUGUGAAAGUGCAGGCCAAAAAUCUUCCUUCACCUGUGGGCCUCUACCCACAUGUAGAUAAGCACUUCAGGAGAAACCUGCCUGUGAUCUGCUAAGAUGCACAGAUUCAACUCUGGCCCAUUGUCAUCCCAACACCUCAUCUGCCAUCAGUUUCGUUUAGUGUCGGUCUAUUGCAAAAGUUCUUAUAAACUUUAAAUGAGACUUUGUGUUAAGCAGGGGUUUCCAAACUUUUCAUUCCACAACAUAUUAAGCCCAGGAUACACAGCAGGAUUUUUGCAAUCCAAUAAGACCUUAUCACACUGUGUGACAAGGAUUGUUUAAACUUCAGCAGUAGACUGUCGAUGAAGACACCUAUUGCAUCUGAAGCUGAGACAUCUGUCAUCAGCAUGCGCUAGUGGUAAACAAAUACAGGUUUGCAGAUCGUA